UGGGCCUGUAGCUCAGCUGGUUAGAGCGCACGCUUGAUAAGCGUGAGGUCGAUGGUUCAAGUCCAUCUAGGCCCAU
RNAcentral lists this transfer RNA (76 nucleotides) under Lactobacillus delbrueckii. Its description in RNAcentral is "tRNA-Ile". It matches the Rfam family "tRNA". Rfam says of the family: Transfer RNA (tRNA) molecules are approximately 80 nucleotides in length. Their secondary structure includes four short double-helical elements and three loops (D, anti-codon, and T loops). Further hydrogen bonds mediate the characteristic L-shaped molecular structure. tRNAs have two regions of fundamental functional importance: the anti-codon, which is responsible for specific mRNA codon recognition, and the 3' end, to which the tRNAs corresponding amino acid is attached (by aminoacyl-tRNA synthetases). tRNAs cope with the degeneracy of the genetic code in two manners: having more than one tRNA (with a specific anti-codon) for a particular amino acid; and 'wobble' base-pairing, i.e. permitting non-standard base-pairing at the 3rd anti-codon position. Lineage: Bacteria; Bacillati; Bacillota; Bacilli; Lactobacillales; Lactobacillaceae. The record is from RNAcentral.